UCGGGAACUGUGAGACAGGUGCUGCAUGGCUGUCGUCAGCUCGUGUUGUGAAAUGUUGGGUUAAGUCCCGCAACGAGCGCAACCCUUAUCCUUUGUUGCCAGCGAUUAGGUCGGGAACUCAAAGGAGACUGCCAGUGAUAAACUGGAGGAAGGUGGGGAUGACGUCAAGUCAUCAUGGCCCUUACGACCAGGGCUACACACGUGCUACAAUGGCGCAUACAAAGAGAAGCGACCUCGCGAGAGCAAGCGGACCUCAUAAAGUGCGUCGUAGUCCGGAUUGGAGUCUGCAACUCGACUCCAUGAAGUCGGAAUCGCUAGUAAUCGUGGAUCAGAAUGCCACGGUGAAUACGUUCCCGGGCCUUGUACACACCGCCCGUCACACCAUGGGAGUGGGUUGCAAAAGAAGUAGGUAGCUUAACCUUCGGGAGGGCGCUUACCACUUUGUGAUUCAUGACUGGGGUGAAGUCGUAACAAGGUAACCGUAGGGGAACCUGCGGUUGGA
Molecule: ribosomal RNA, 502 nt
Filed under: Salmonella enterica
Lineage: Bacteria; Pseudomonadati; Pseudomonadota; Gammaproteobacteria; Enterobacterales; Enterobacteriaceae
Also listed under: 8 other names
Description: bacterial SSU rRNA
Rfam family: Bacterial small subunit ribosomal RNA
Source: RNAcentral